UACGGAGGGUGCGAGCGUUGUCCGGAAUCACUGGGCGUAAAGGGCGCGUAGGCGGCGCGGAUAGUCGGCGGUGAAAGCCCGGAGCUCAACUCCGGGUCGGCCGUCGAUACUUCCGGGCUUGAGCACUGUAGAGGCAGAUGGAAUUCCGGGUGUAGCGGUGGAAUGCGUAGAGAUCCGGAAGAACACCGGUGGCGAAGGCGGUCUGCUGGGCGAGUUGCUGACGCUGAUGCGCGACAGCGUGGGGAG
Molecule: ribosomal RNA, 246 nt
Filed under: uncultured bacterium
Lineage: Bacteria
Description: partial 16S ribosomal RNA
Rfam family: Bacterial small subunit ribosomal RNA
Source: RNAcentral